Molecule: long non-coding RNA, 1205 nt
Organism: Capsicum annuum
Lineage: Eukaryota; Viridiplantae; Streptophyta; Magnoliopsida; Solanales; Solanaceae
Exons: 3
Source: RefSeq, a predicted model, not a curated record
UAUUCAUUUUCUUGAAAUUUAUCAAGUUGGUUUUUACUUGAAAAAAUUGAUAUCAAGUAAUGAUAGUGUAUUGGUGUAAAUGGCAACAAAGAUGAAGGAGAAAUUUUAAAAAUAUUGGGUGAUCCAACAAAAAUGAACAAGAUGCUUUUUAUACCCUGUGUUUUGGUUCCUCGCCAUAAAUUUGCCACUCUUGGUUUUGCACUUAAGAAGAUGUUUGCUGACUAUAGAAAAAGAUAUAUGAGAGUACAUAAAAUCAUUAUUUGAUGAGUAUUUAAAGUCUGCUUCAAAAGAUAGAGGUGGUAAUCUAUCUUCAACAGAAGUGGGGGCUUCUAGCUCAAGCUCUAUGGUUGUGGAAGAUAUUGAUGACUUUUAUGAGGAAUUAAGUAGACACGCAUCUGGAAGUGGAGCCUAAAACUAUAAGUCGAAAUUGGAUAAGUAUCUUGCAUAAGAUAUUGAAUUUGGAAAGUCUAUAUUAGUGUAUUGCUUUGGUGCAAAUAUAACUCUUCUUGAUUUCCCCUUCUUUCUGAGAUGGCUCGAGAUAUUUUAGUUGUUCCUAAUUCAAGUGUAGUAUUAGAAUGUGCUUUUAUUACCAGGGGAUGCAUUUUUGAUUCAUUUUCAUUAACUCAUAAAUUGGUAGAAGCUUUAGCGUGUCUACAAGAUUGGCUUCAAAGUGUAUCACAACCUAUAAGUGUCAAGGAGGAUUUAGAUUCUCUCGAGCAACUUGAACGAGAUUUGGCCAAACUUGGAAAAGAACUUAGCAUUGAUGACAUGUAAUAUUGUAGAUGGUUAAGAGAUUAAAACUUUGGUUUUAAUAUGUCUCCACAUUGUAGACCUAAAGCUCGAUCACAAAUUUGGAGUCACUAUGAAAUGCUUGAAGCAGGUGAUGAUUGAGAGUGCAAAGAAAACUUUGUUCAUUAUGGUAAUGUUCAUAAUUACAAUAAGUCGACAACUGGGUCUGACUGCUUAGUGAAAUAUGUCGUUUGGAGAGGGUGUUCGUCAUCUUGUGAAAAUUGAGUAGUUAUUAGUACUAUGUUUAGAAUUUGAACUUAAUUUUCAAAUUGCUAGACAGUCUGAAUUUUUUGUUUGUGCUAGACAAUUUUGAAUUGCAACUGGUUGACAUUAAUGUUUUGGCUGCAAAGUGCAGACUAUUGCAGCCAUGUACUCGCUUAUGUGCUUUUUAUUUACGAAGACACUACUUUUUGGUG